Molecule: ribosomal RNA, 441 nt
Filed under: uncultured cyanobacterium
Lineage: Bacteria; Bacillati; Cyanobacteriota
Description: bacterial SSU rRNA
Rfam family: Bacterial small subunit ribosomal RNA
Source: RNAcentral
CGGGUUUAGUGGCGGACGGGUGAGUAACGCGUGAGAAUCUGCCUCUAGGUCGGGGACAACAAUUGGAAACGAUUGCUAAUACCCGAUGUGCAGCAAUGUGAAAGAUUUAUUGCCUAGAGAUGAGCUCGCGUCUGAUUAGCUAGUAGGUGUGGUAAUGGCGCACCUAGGCGACGAUCAGUAACUGGUCUGAGAGGAUGACCAGUCACACUGGGACUGAGACACGGCCCAGACUCCUACGGGAGGCAGCAGUGGGGAAUUUUACGCAAUGGGCGAAAGCCUGACGUAGCGACACCGCGUGAACGAAGAAGCCUCUUGGGGUGUAAAGUUCUGUCAGCUGGAACGAAACAAAUGACGGUACCAGCAGAGGAAGCAUCGGCUAACUACGUGCCAGCAGCCGCGGUAAGACGUAGGAUGCGAGCGUUGUCCGGAUUUAUUGGGCGU